Molecule: ribosomal RNA, 301 nt
Filed under: uncultured bacterium
Lineage: Bacteria
Description: partial 16S ribosomal RNA
Rfam family: Bacterial small subunit ribosomal RNA
Source: RNAcentral
CAGUCGCCGCGGGAAUACGUAGGUGGCAAGUGUUGUCCGGAAUUAUUGGGCGUAAAGGGCUCGCAGGCGGUUUCUUAAGUCUGAUGUGAAAGCCCCCGGCUCAACCGGGGAGGGUCAUUGGAAACUGGGAAACUUGAGUGCAGAAGAGGAGAGUGGAAUUCCACGUGUAGCGGUGAAAUGCGUAGAGAUGUGGAGGAACACCAGUGGCGAAGGCGACUCUCUGGUCUGUAACUGACGCUGAGUAGCGAAAGCGUGGGGAGCGAACAGGAUUAGAUACCCCGGUAGUCCCUGUCUCUUAUAC